UACGUAGGGCGCGAGCGUUGUCCGGAAUUAUUGGGCGUAAAGAGCUCGUAGGCGGUCCGGUAAGUCGGUUGUGAAAACUGGGGGCUCAACCCUCAGAGGCCGACCGAUACUGUCGGGCUAGAGUCCGGAAGAGGCGAGUGGAAUUCCUGGUGUAGCGGUGAAAUGCGCAGAUAUCAGGAGGAACACCAAUGGCGAAGGCAGCUCGCUGGGACGGUACUGACGCUGAGGCGCGAAAGCGUGGGAGCAAACAGG
Molecule: ribosomal RNA, 252 nt
Filed under: uncultured bacterium
Lineage: Bacteria
Description: partial 16S ribosomal RNA
Rfam family: Bacterial small subunit ribosomal RNA
Source: RNAcentral